CCAUAAUUGAAAAAAUCAUUUCUUUUUUGUUUCUUUGAGUAUCCAUUGGGAUUUUAGUUGUAGCUGGCGCAAGCUUGAGCUCAGAUAAAAUUCCAAUAAUGCAGUUUUGCCCUCAGAUGAGGAGGCUUUUACAGAAAUGCUGAGUAUGAAGGUAUCCAACUAAGUCAGUUAGAGAUCGAUCAGUCUCUUUUUGAUGCCCGC
This 201-nucleotide long non-coding RNA is filed under the name Elaeis guineensis (African oil palm). RNAcentral's name for it is "long non-coding RNA (EGUI_LNC049229)". The record is from RNAcentral. Lineage: Eukaryota; Viridiplantae; Streptophyta; Magnoliopsida; Arecales; Arecaceae.